UACGGAGGGGGCAAGCGUUGUUCGGAAUUACUGGGCGUAAAGGGCGCGCAGGCGGCUGCUCAAGUCAGGUGUGAAAACCCUGGGCUCAACCUGGGAAAGUCGCUUGAUACUACUUAGCUAGAGUACUAUAGAGGACAGUGGAAUUUCCGGUGUAGCGGUGAAAUGCGUAGAUAUCGGAAGGAACACCAGUGGCGAAGGCGACUGUCUGGAUAGAUACUGACACUGAAACACGAAAGCAUGGGUAGCAAACAGG
RNAcentral lists this ribosomal RNA (253 nucleotides) under uncultured bacterium. RNAcentral describes it as "partial 16S ribosomal RNA". It matches the Rfam family "Bacterial small subunit ribosomal RNA", at positions 524 to 776 of the family's 1533-position model. The record is from RNAcentral.